CAUCGGUGGUACUGAUCACUUGCCUGUCUGCAACCUAUGCACAAGCAUAAGCGUAAACUUAUCAACAUCAUUCCAAUCAAAGAUUAUGGCCAUUUCAUUUUAACAGUAACAGACCUACUUAUAGGUCUGUUAUUUCAGCUUAUUAUACCAAAAGAACACUGAAACAGGAGGUACCAGACUAAGCAUAGGAUGAAAGUACACUAAGAUUUUACAAUUUUUAUUUCUGCCAAAAUCAGGGUUACUGACUUCAUCUGUACAGCUUCUCUGUUUCUUCAAAGAAUGACCUUUAGCAAAAAGAGAGAACAUUUAUUUCCAGAUUGUUUUACAGUUUCCACCACAAAAAUAAUGACCAUUAAGUGCUGUAUGACUUAGUCAUUGAUCUAAUAAUCUUAGGCAUUUAUAAAAAGAGGAUACAUGCCAACCUAUUAUAUUAAGAGAGUCAUGGUAAGAAUCUACUAAAUAUGCCAAACGCUUAUCUCAACAAUCUAUUAACUCAGUUUUGCUAUCAGUAUUUCAUAAAUUCUGUUAUUGAACAUGAAAACUAGUAUAAAUCUGUACAGAAAUCAGCAUUUAUCUGAAAUACCUUUAAAAACCUCCCUCCCUUUGAGCCCACAGAUUCAACUUCUCAGCAUCUAGCCGCAGGAAGUACUCUGUGAACCACGAAGAAUACAGAGGAUGUUUUCAUGCGAACCGUCCAGAACUGCUUCAGAACAACAUGGGAGAUGUGGAGACUGCACAGAGCAGCAGAAAAGAAGUAAUUUUAAAAUCUUGCUCAGACCUUAACUUUGAGCUGUCUGUUUGGAAGAUCUGUAUAGAGAGCAUCCCAUUGUUCUACAGUGAAGCCCUUCAGAGUCAGGAUCGCCUCAACCACCAGCAUGUCGGAAAUAGCGUCACCAGCUGCCUGCAAGACAGGAGACACAACGGAAGAAACCACUCACACACAAGCAAAGCUCAGCAAUGAACGUGGGCUUCGAAAACCAAUCCUGGUCCUGUACAUCCUCCUGCCCUAAUCUUCCUCAUCUAUAAAAUGAGAUUAGACUGGGUAACUGUUAAGGUUCUAGCAUCAAAAUUCUAUGACUCAAAUUUUUCUUUCUAACUGCAUCCCUUUAGAGAUACCAUACCAUGAUGGAAGGCAUCGUGCAUGGUAAAGGGAACAAACACAAGGUUUGGUAUAAGACAAACCUAAAAUUGGACCCAUACUCUGCCACUUAGUAGUUAGAAACCUUUUGUUUCUUCAUUUAUGAAAUGGGAAUUAUAAUAACUCCUUGCCCUGUGCUACUGGAUCACCGAUGCGGUAUGUAAAGUGACCGUUACCUGCAAGCUGCUCAAACAAUUGUUGCUUUGCUAUUCCUUGUGUCCUGUACUUCGCUUGCUUUUCCACUGCCACAUUCUACACCCCAGUCUCAAGGAUUUGACCCACAUACAUUCAGUAGCUGAAUCUUUUGACUCUGUGUUAGCUACUCAUUAUACUUGAAAAUUUUCAUCACAAACUGCAGUGGGAUGGAAGCAUAUGAAUGCUCUCACAGCAUUUGUUAGACCUGAGCGUUUACACACCACUGCUAGAAGGAAGCUGCCAGGACUCAUCACUUUCACUUUUUACACAGCACACUGCCCUAGCCACCUUCUGCUAAUGUAAAAGUGACCCGAAGCCUGCCACCCCAUCAGUUCUGACCUGGUUAAACAAGUCAAUAAUAUUUUCAAGCAUCUUAGCAGCUUUCUGUUUCUUAUCUUCUAAUUCUUUUGCUAGUUGUUUUAUCUUCAUUUCAGCAGCUUUACUAAACAGCACCUGCAACGAGAGUGCACAAAAUCACAAGGUACUCUCGGUGCCCAGUCAUAAGUACUAUCAUCCUGCUGAACUACUUCUGAAACUCAGCAAAUCUGAAGAAACUGAGGAUGAAAAUAAUGGCCUUAGAAUGUAUGAAAUUAGUAAGAUCACAUCAGAACCGUAAAGAUACUCUAGAGAAAAACAGGUCCUUUGUGGAUUAUAAAACUCGUUAUCAACAGUACAAAGACAAUGCCCCCCCCCACCCCCGCAAAAGCAAAUGCAUGUGAUCACUGGUCUUCAUUGUGUUCGACCUUCGGCCACCUACCUCAGCUCUGGGCCAAACAGGUUCCUUAAGCUUUUUACUUUGCAAAAUAUAAUUCAUUGCAACCAGUACAAUUUUCUUGUCCUAAAAUUUUUAAGGAUAUAAGCUCUGCAAAAGCAGAAAGAGGCUUUGUCAUAUUUAUCACAUUGUGAUAAAGAGUGCUGUGGAUAUUUAUUCUGUACAUUAUGUUCUUCAAGAUUAUCACUUUGAAAUGCCUUGCCCAUGAUUUCAGUGCCUUCAGGGGCCCUGAACUAAAGAGGAAUAGCAUACUACACUCAGCCACUUGAUGAAAUACAGGUUUGCUGGUAAACUGAAGUGCAGGCUGGCCCCUUGUUUCUCUAGAGCACAGCCGUACCCACUCAUCUACCUACACCAGCAGAGUGGAGGGGCCUCAAAAGAAACUUCAUGACCCAUGGCCUAAAAUAGUUACUAUCUGCCCUUUAAAAUCAUUUAUCAAGCCCUGCAUUAAUUAGAUCACUGAAGUUAUAUUUUAAUUACAUUUCCUACGAGUAUUAUUUUUCUUCUACUCAUGUCCCCUAGAAGCCAAUUUUGAAUUAAUGAGGAAAAUAACCUAGAUAACAUAUUUUUUUUUGUUCAUCACAGGCCAGGUGAAGUAUAGAAACAUCUAAAAAAUUCCAAAACCUAUGAACACCCUAAAACCAUUUAAUAUACUUUAAAGUGGUGAAUUUCAUGAUAUGUGAAUUUUAUCUCAAAAAUUUUUAGACAUUCUAUGUUCAAAUAUUUAAACUCAUUUCCAGUUGUUCAUGUCUUAAUUCUCAAGCUUUCUAACACUUGUUGAUUCACCUUUUACCACUUGUGUAGCCACUUGAAGGAAAACAUUUUAAAUGAUGUAUAAUCUGCUUAUGAGAAGGUUAAGAAGUGUGUAUUUUUUAAGAAACUGACAAUAUUAUCACUUCACAAAGAUUAACAAUCUAAAAGACAACCAUAGUUUCAACACACAGAAUAUAUUGUUAACCAAAUAGUCUUAUUCUAUCACCAUCCCAAUCAUUUCAACAAACUGCAAUUACCUUUACUUCCUAUAUAUCAAAUUCUCAUCAAAAAAGAAAGUGCCAACUAAAGCCAGUUGUAAUUGUUAACGAGACCUUACUGUGCCAUGUCCGUUUGCUUCAAAAUAAACUCCAAUGUCAAAUUCCUG
This is a long non-coding RNA of Manis javanica (Malayan pangolin), 3243 nucleotides long. RefSeq lists it as uncharacterized. Lineage: Eukaryota; Metazoa; Chordata; Mammalia; Pholidota; Manidae. The record is from RefSeq and is a predicted model, not a curated record.